This 477-nucleotide ribosomal RNA is filed under the name uncultured Acholeplasma sp. RNAcentral's name for it is "bacterial SSU rRNA". It matches the Rfam family "Bacterial small subunit ribosomal RNA", at positions 900 to 1382 of the family's 1533-position model. Lineage: Bacteria; Bacillati; Mycoplasmatota; Mollicutes; Acholeplasmatales; Acholeplasmataceae. The record is from RNAcentral.
CUUAAAUGAAUUGACGGGGCCCGCACAAGCGGUGGAGCAUGUGGUUUAAUUCGAUGAUACGCGAGGAACCUUACCUGGGCUCAAAUGUAUGUUGACGUAUUCUGAAAGGGAUACUUCUUCGGACAAUAUACAAGGUGCUGCAUGGUUGUCGUCAGCUCGUGCCGUGAGGUGUCGGGUUAAGUCCCAUAACGAGCGCAACCCCUAUCAUUAGUUACCAUCAUUAAGUUGGGGACUCUAGCGAGACUGCCAGUGAUAAACUGGAGGAAGGUGGGGAUGACGUCAAAUCAUCAUGCCCCUUAUGACCUGGGCUACAAACGUGAUACAAUGGCUGGAACAAAGGGAUGCGAAGCAGUGAUGUGGAGCGAAACCCAUAAAAACAGUCUCAGUUCGGAUUGAAGUCUGCAACUCGACUUCAUGAAGUCGGAAUCGCUAGUAAUCGCGGAUCAGAACGCCGCGGUGAAUACGUUCUCGGGGUUU